This 326-nucleotide ribosomal RNA is filed under the name uncultured eukaryote. RNAcentral's name for it is "partial 18S ribosomal RNA". It matches the Rfam family "Eukaryotic small subunit ribosomal RNA", at positions 1470 to 1796 of the family's 1831-position model. The record is from RNAcentral.
CCCUUAGAUGUUCUGGGCCGCGCGCGCGCUACACUGAUGAACGCAACGAGACCACCUGUACCGAAAGGCAUGGGUAAACUUGUGAAAGUUCAUCGUGAUGGGGAUAGAUUAUUGCAAUUAUUAAUCUUCAACGAGGAAUUCCUAGUAAACGCAAGUCAUCAGCUUGCAUUGAUUACGUCCCUGCCCUUUGUACACACCGCCCGUCGCACCUACCGAUUGGAUGGUCCGGUGAGAAUUUCGGAUUGUAGAUACGUCGCUUUUAUUAGGGAUGUGUCCGCGAGAAGUUAUUCAAACCUUACCAUCUAGAGGAAGGUGAAGUCGUAACA